CUUUCUUCCUACUCGAGUUUCAAUACUUACCUAUCAUACUUAAGGCUUCAUCAAGUCUUUUAUACUGUCUCAUAGUUGAUCCAAAAGAGCUACAGCUCAUUAUGGCGUCAGUUUGGCUUUAAUGCUAAAUUUCGCAAACACGCUGAACUAGAUUGACAAUAAUAAAAAAAUGAACUUUAUUCGUCACUUGCUGUGUUACUUAUUAUUAAGAAUCUCAAUUAUGCUAAACAAAUUUUGACACGCAAAAAAUGCUACAAUAGAAACGGAAACGGUUGCACUCACGGAUCGUGACUGGAACAAGUAUAGCAAUCCCGCCAUAAGACCUAGAAGUUACUCUUCGGUUGCCACCAGGUGGCAUAUGAGUAGCAUAUUUCUAUGAAAUCUUUUGAUGGCUGUCUGCUGUCUGCUUAAGUGGGCAUUGAUGGCAUGUUAAUUUUUAAAAAGUUUGUACUUCAAAUAUAGGAACUAUCUUGCUUUCGGCGGAUUAUUCUCAGUUGGAACUUCGAAUAUUGGCGCAUUUGAGCGAAGACGCAGGUCUUUGUUCUGUUCUAGCCAACCCGAUGGCGAUGUUUUCCGCGGCAUUGUAUCGGUUUGGAAAAAGAAAAAGCAAGAAGAAGUCAGAGACGAUGAAAGGCAAAAAGCGAAACAAAUCUGCUACGGGAUUGUUUACGGCAUGGGAUGUAAAAGUUUAGCCGAACAGUUGGAAGUCGGGGAAGAAGAGGCUCAACUCUUUGUGAACACUUUCCACGCAAGGUAUCCUAGUAUACAAAGCUUUAUAACAAACACAGUUAACCAGUGCCGCACGAAUGGAUUUGAUGAUGUUGAUGCCUAAUUUUCUUGACAGGUCAACCGAUGUGGAAAAAAAUUCAGGAGGAAAAUUAAUUGAGCUGCUGACAUUGGCCUAUUCUGGAAUACAUCAGUUUGCAUCAUAAUCAGAAAGGUAAUAUUGCCUCUUUUAAUUCCUUAUCCAGUUGUAGCUAUGACUUGAGUCUGCGUAGAUAAAUUUCUUAGCUUUAUUUGAAAUUUGAGGCUGUGAUAACUUUUUGAAAACGACAAGAUAUUUUCUAAACUAAAGCUUCACUAGAUCUACCCAAAAGCAAGCAAUCUUUAUUUCAACAUAUAGAUAGCAAUUACUUGUUACACCAAAAGUACCCCGCCAGGGUGUGUUCUGUUAUUUCCCGCCCGAAUUAUUUUGGGUAGCUUUUUUCUCAGAAUUUAUUAAUCACAUCGUCAUGGUUUCAACUGCGCUAGGUUGGUUUACGUUAACGAUCACAUCAUCGCCGUGUCUGAUCCUUUUCGAUUGCACUAUAUGAUGCAGCGAGUGUGGGUGUAUGUCGAAAAUAUAAAUUACGCAGAAACCUCCAUAGAAGGGAAACUUGUGUGAUUAGCAUCACACACACACACACACA
Molecule: long non-coding RNA, 1409 nt
Organism: Daphnia magna
Lineage: Eukaryota; Metazoa; Arthropoda; Branchiopoda; Diplostraca; Daphniidae
Exons: 2
Source: RefSeq, a predicted model, not a curated record